GUUGCUUCUCAGCCUUUUGGCUAAGAUCAAGUGUAGCAUCUGUUCUUAAUCAGUUUAAUAUCUGAUACAUCCUCUAUCUGGGGGCUAAACGUUUUUGGCUGCCCAGAGAUCAU
RNAcentral lists this small nuclear RNA (113 nucleotides) under Varanus komodoensis (Komodo dragon). RNAcentral describes it as "U2 spliceosomal RNA (ENSVKKG00000017341.1)". It matches the Rfam family "U2 spliceosomal RNA". From Rfam's summary of the family: U2 is a small nuclear RNA (snRNA) component of the spliceosome (involved in pre-mRNA splicing). Lineage: Eukaryota; Metazoa; Chordata; Lepidosauria; Squamata; Varanidae. The record is from Rfam by way of RNAcentral.